GGGAAUUAAAAUCGAUUUUUUGUAAUUUAUUACAAAGUCAAGGCUUGUUAACAGAUUCAAUGUCCAUUGAGAAUGUAGUUGAAGAGUUUGCACACUCUGUGACAUAAUCAAUAUGUCGUCUAGAUAAAUUAUCAUUCUUACUCCCCUGCUUCAAAGUAGGGAUAUUACUGGUUUGAGUAAUUUGGUGAAACACCAAGUUGCAGAGGAUAAACCAAAUGGCAAUGAUUUGAAUUGCCAUUUCUUCCCUUGCCAUAGGGACUGUAAAUAUUUCUGACAUGAGUGGUGGAUAGGUACCGUGAGGUAUGCAUCCUUCAAAUCUAUUUUGAUCAACCAGUCGUUGAAUAUCAAUAGGUCUUUGAGGUAAUAAAUUCCCUCCAUUUUGAAAUGGUG
Molecule: non-coding RNA, 390 nt
Organism: Pelobates cultripes (western spadefoot toad)
Lineage: Eukaryota; Metazoa; Chordata; Amphibia; Anura; Pelobatidae
Source: the annotation of a GenBank genome assembly